Molecule: ribosomal RNA, 433 nt
Filed under: uncultured bacterium
Lineage: Bacteria
Description: partial 16S ribosomal RNA
Rfam family: Bacterial small subunit ribosomal RNA
Source: RNAcentral
AACGAACGCUGGCGGCAUGCCUAACACAUGCAAGUCGAACGAGACCUCCGGGUCUAGUGGCGCACGGGUGCGUAACGCGUGGGAACCUGCCCUUAGGUUCGGAAUAACUCCCCGAAAGGGGUGCUAAUACCGGAUAAUGUCUUCGGACCAAAGAUUUAUCGCCUUUGGAUGGGCCCGCGUUGGAUUAGCUAGUUGGUAGGGUAAAAGCCUACCAAGGCGACGAUCCAUAGCUGGUCUGAGAGGAUGAUCAGCCACACUGGGACUGAGACACGGCCCAGACUGGUACGGGAGGCAGCAGUGGGGAAUAUUGGACAAUGGGCGAAAGCCUGAUCCAGCAAUGCCGGGUGAGUGAUGAAGGCCUUAGGGUUGUAAAGCUCUUUUAGCCGGGAUGAUAAUGACAGUACCGGGAGAAUAAGCUCCGGCUAACUCCGUG